RNAcentral lists this microRNA (21 nucleotides) under Medicago truncatula (barrel medic). RNAcentral describes it as "mtr-miR5748". Lineage: Eukaryota; Viridiplantae; Streptophyta; Magnoliopsida; Fabales; Fabaceae. The record is from miRBase by way of RNAcentral.
ACAAAGACAUUGGAAGGCUUA